CCCUGGUAGUCCACCCCGUAAACGUUGGGAACUAGUUGUGGGGUCCAUUCCACGGAUUCCGUGACGCAGCUAACGCAUUAAGUUCCCCGCCUGGGGAGUACGGCCGCAAGGCUAAAACUCAAAGGAAUUGACGGGGACCCGCACAAGCGGCGGAGCAUGCGGAUUAAUUCGAUGCAACGCGAAGAACCUUACCAAGGCUUGACAUAUACGAGAACGGGCCAGAAAUGGUCAACUCUUUGGACACUCGUAAACAGGUGGUGCAUGGUUGUCGUCGGCUCGUGUCGUGAGAUGUUGGGUUAAGUCCCGCAACGAGCGCAACCCUCGUUCUAUGUUGCCAGCACGUAAUGGUGGGAACUCAUGGGAUACUGCCGGGGUCAACUCGGAGGAAGGUGGGGAUGACGUCAAAUCAUCAUGCCCCUUAUGUCUUGGGCUUCACGCAUGCUACAAUGGCCGGUACAAAGGGCUGCAAUACCGUGAGGUGGAGCGAAUCCCAAAAAGCCGGUCCCAGUUCGGAUUGAGGUCUGCAACUCGACCUCAUGAAGUCGGAGUCGCUAGUAAUCGCAGAUCAG
Molecule: ribosomal RNA, 569 nt
Filed under: uncultured bacterium
Lineage: Bacteria
Description: bacterial SSU rRNA
Rfam family: Bacterial small subunit ribosomal RNA
Source: RNAcentral